This is a non-coding RNA of Manis javanica (Malayan pangolin), 756 nucleotides long. The record is from RefSeq and is a predicted model, not a curated record. NCBI's taxonomy places the organism in Eukaryota, Metazoa, Chordata, Mammalia, Pholidota, Manidae.
UUGCAUGGGUUUUCUCAAAGAAGCCUUGUUGAAUGGUUAGUGAAGAGGGGGCAGCGAUCAACCUUUCUUUGGGCCUCAGCCUUCCCAGCUGUGAAGUGGGCAAAGUGCUGCCUGAAGAGGCCACGGGGAAGGGCUUGGGAUGAAGGAGGUGGAAGGACAUUGAAGGGCGUGAGCUCACUGCCCCUUCACACUGUGACUGGAGUGAAGAUGAUGUGAGUCUCAGACUUGAUAAGAUGCAUUUCUUCUCAUCAUGGAUCAAAGCUAUUUUUAUCAUUGCCCUGGAAUUUCCUCUUUAUUCAGAAACGGCUUUUGUACCUGCAGUAGACAUUUGUGAAUUGAGAAAAUAGUGGAAUAUUUGAAUUUAGUCACUGUGGUGCAUGCUGAUUCUGCCUAAACUACACAUUCCUAUGGCUUUAAUUGCAAUCCUAUUUCAUGAUGGAUUCUACAACCAAUUAAGGUUUUGAAUUCCUAGAUGACCAAGCAAAGCCUUCUGUGAUACACAAGAUGGAACACAGAAUGACGAAGAAUUUAUCCACCUCUAAGAACCUGUGAUUGAAAGAUUCUUAUUCUCUAUGUCCAAUUAUUCAAUUACAGUUCAAAAACUUAAUUGUGUGUUUGGUAACAUAAAAUGUAAAGCAGUUUAAAAUCAUAAAUAUUUCAACCAAUAAAAUGUUAAAUAUUAUCUUUAUUAAAAUACCCUUUCUUUGGUUGGCUAGUGAGUUAAAACACAUGAAUAUUUUUGGCAACUAUAAUUAA